This 389-nucleotide ribosomal RNA is filed under the name Cylindrotheca sp. RNAcentral describes it as "partial small subunit ribosomal RNA". It matches the Rfam family "Eukaryotic small subunit ribosomal RNA", at positions 582 to 975 of the family's 1831-position model. Lineage: Eukaryota; Bacillariophyta; Bacillariophyceae; Bacillariales; Bacillariaceae. The record is from RNAcentral.
AUUCCAGCUCCAAUAGCGUAUAUUUAAGUUGUUGCAGUUAAAAAGCUCGUAGUUGGAUUUGUGGUGUACUUCGGCGGCCCGUCACUAUGUGAUGGAGCUUGCUGAAGUCGCCAUCCUUGGGUGGAUCCUGUGUGGCAUUAAGUUGUCGUGCAGGGGAUGCCCAUCGUUUACUGUGAAAAAAUUAGAGUGUUCAAAGCAGGCUUAUGCCGUUGAAUAUAUUAGCAUGGAAUAAUAAGAUAGGACCUUGGUACUAUUUUGUUGGUUUGCGCACCAAGGUAAUGAUUAAUAGGGACAGUUGGGGGUAUUCGUAUUUCAUUGUCAGAGGUGAAAUUCUUGGAUUUUUGAAAGACGAACUACUGCGAAAGCAUUUACCAAGGAUGUUUUCAUCA